Non-coding RNA from Hordeum vulgare subsp. vulgare (domesticated barley), 135 nucleotides. NCBI's taxonomy places the organism in Eukaryota, Viridiplantae, Streptophyta, Magnoliopsida, Poales, Poaceae. The record is from Rfam.
UAUGUACUCCCUCCAUCCCAAAAUUCUCAUCUGAGAUUUGUCUAGAUAUAGAUGUAUCUAACACUAAGACACAACUAGAUACAUCCGUAUUUAAACAAAUCUAAGACAAGNAUUUUGGGACGGAGGGAGUAGAUG